UACCAGCUCCUCGAGUGGUAGGGAUGAUUAUUUGGCCUAAAGCGUUCGUAGCCGGCUUAUCAAGUCCUUCGUGAAAUCCUGCGAUUCAAUCGUAGGGCGGGCGAGGGAUACUGUUAGGCUUGAGGACGGGAGAGGUCGACGGUAGUCUUGGGGUAGGGGUGAAAUCCUAUAAUCCCAAGACGACCACCAGUGGCGUAGGCGGUCGACUAGAACGUGCCUGACGGUGAUGGACGAAAGCUGGGGGAGCGAACCGGAUUAGAUACCCGGGUAGUCCCAGCUGUAAACGAUGCGGGCUAGGUGUUGGAACAGCUACGUGCUGUUCCAGUGCCGCAGGGAAGCCCUUAAGCCCGCCGCCUGGGAAGUACGGUCGCAAGGCUAGAAACUUAAAGGAAGUUGGCGGGGGAGAGCUACGAAGGGGUGAAGGGCUGCGGUUU
RNAcentral lists this ribosomal RNA (434 nucleotides) under uncultured archaeon. RNAcentral's name for it is "bacterial SSU rRNA". It matches the Rfam family "Archaeal small subunit ribosomal RNA", at positions 474 to 903 of the family's 1478-position model. The record is from RNAcentral.